This 253-nucleotide ribosomal RNA is filed under the name uncultured bacterium. Its description in RNAcentral is "partial 16S ribosomal RNA". It matches the Rfam family "Bacterial small subunit ribosomal RNA", at positions 524 to 776 of the family's 1533-position model. The record is from RNAcentral.
UACGGAGGGGGCUAGCGUUGUUCGGAAUUACUGGGCGUAAAGCGCGCGUAGGCGGAUCUGCAAGUCGGGGGUGAAAUCCCGAGGCUCAACCUCGGAACUGCCUUCGAUACUGCGGGUCUCGAGUCCGGGAGAGGUGAGUGGAAUUCCUAGUGUAGAGGUGAAAUUCGUAGAUAUUAGGAAGAACACCAGUGGCGAAGGCGGCUCACUGGACAGGUCCUGACGCUGAGGCGCGAAAGCGUGGGGAGCAAACAGG